This 250-nucleotide ribosomal RNA is filed under the name uncultured bacterium. RNAcentral describes it as "partial 16S ribosomal RNA". It matches the Rfam family "Bacterial small subunit ribosomal RNA", at positions 57 to 305 of the family's 1533-position model. The record is from RNAcentral.
GCAAGUCGAACGGCAGCACGAAGAGCUUGCUCUUUGGUGGCGAGUGGCGGACGGGUGAGUAACACUUAGGAAUCUAUCCAGUAGCUGGGGAUAACUCGGAGAAAUCCGAGCUAAUACCGAAUACGCACUACGGUGGAAAGAGGGGGCUCUUUGGACCUCUCACUAUUGGGUGAGCCUAAGCCGGAUUAGUUAGUUGGUGGGGUAAUGGCCUACCAAGACAGCGAUCCGUAGCUGGUCUGAGAGGACGAUC